This is a long non-coding RNA of Puntigrus tetrazona (Sumatra barb), 557 nucleotides long. RefSeq lists it as uncharacterized. The record is from RefSeq and is a predicted model, not a curated record. NCBI's taxonomy places the organism in Eukaryota, Metazoa, Chordata, Actinopteri, Cypriniformes, Cyprinidae. The transcript has 4 exons.
CAGAUGUAGCAUCUCGCUCAGCACGAUCUGGAUCUCAUAGACUGAUUAACACGAUCUGUGCAGAGUUCCCGAGAAUCAGUGUCCUAUCACUUGAGUUCCUAAUGGGAGGAUCCAUCUGCCUCUGUGGAGAAAAGGAGAGAAGUGGUCCUGAAAUGCCUAAUCGAGUACAUGGGGAGAGACAGGAAGACCUCAUCAGUGUCCUCCACAGUCGUGAUGUGCACGCCGAGCUUGGCGGUUUCCCUUCUCAAAGUUAACAUGUGCCAUCACCCCGACACGAUUGGGAUUAUCACAGAGGGACAGCCCGUGGUCAGAGGUGUUCCAAACCUGUCCAAAGCAUGCUGCCUCCUGUUUGGACUUAACCUAGGCCCUUGACCUCAAGCAUCCUCAAAACUGGUCUGUACGUUUGAGAUAUAUCAGAGGCUCUUUGUGGGACUGGACCCCAUGCGUCCUAAACUAUCAUCCAAGUAUGCAAAUUUGGGAGUUCUUAAAAAUAAUAGUUGUUGAAUAUAUAGAAAAAAAUGUAAAAAAAUUCUCAUUGCAGUUCCAGUGUGAUACAA